UACGUAGGGUGCAAGCGUUAAUCGGAAUUACUGGGCGUAAAGCGUGCGCAGGCGGUUUUGUAAGUCUGACGUGAAAGCCCCGGGCUUAACCUGGGAAUUGCGUUGGAGACUGCAAGGCUUGAAUCUGGCAGAGGGGGGUAGAAUUCCACGUGUAGCAGUGAAAUGCGUAGAGAUGUGGAGGAACACCGAUGGCGAAGGCAGCCCCCUGGGUCAAGAUUGACGCUCAUGCGCGAAAGCGUGGGGAGCAAAUAGG
This 253-nucleotide ribosomal RNA is filed under the name uncultured bacterium. RNAcentral's name for it is "partial 16S ribosomal RNA". It matches the Rfam family "Bacterial small subunit ribosomal RNA", at positions 524 to 776 of the family's 1533-position model. The record is from RNAcentral.